AUUGUCUAUGAGGACUUGGCACAACUUUCCCAUUCCUGCAUCUUGUUGCUUCCAAGUUACUCCCAGGAAUGUUCAGAGUAAAUUCUCCUGGAAGAGCCUCCAAGAUGAGCAGCCUGAUCUGUUAGAUUGCACUUCUUCCCAGCUCCUGCAGCUAGAGGAAUCUUGUGUAAUUUCAACAUAUCCAAAGUCAACUAUGUAGGGAGAAGGGAAUUUUUCCCUUUAUUGAAUAGGAGUGACCUUGGCUCUCUGCUAGGGAAGCUUGGUGUUUUCCAAAUGUUUUGAAUAAAGAUACAUUGCUUUACAGUCUUUUUCCCUGUAGAGAAUCUGGGGACAGCAUUCAUUUAUAACCAGAAAUGUUAUGACGAAAUUAAACAAAACCCAUCAAAUUUUAGACUAAAUAUCAAAGAACUUUAUGACAGCUAAAUUCAUUAGAAUGUAGUCAGCCUAAAGAAAUAUCAGAAGCCCUGUGCAUGGGUCAAAUACAUCACAUACAACAUUCCUAAACCCUGGAGAAUAUUGCAUAAGGAGCGGUGUUAGACUUUUGCAUACAGAUGAUAAAGCAAAAAAAGAACAAAUAUUAUCUUUAAAUACAAUAUAUUUGCCAAAUCUGUUUUUUUUUUUUAAUCCCAUGUUUUGUCCAAUUUGAAUAAAGCCUGGUACUUCUUUUAUUCCAGAACAAUUUUGUGGUGGGGAAUGCCAGACCCUGUGCAGUGUGCCAGUAGUUCAAGCCUGCCUCCUGUGCUGGGGUUAGUGUUGGGUGACUAGAUGCAGGGCUGUUGUGGUACCUAAAGACUUCGUCUGCUGAAGGAAGGGGAUCAGUAGGGACUCAUAAUGCAGAAGGGUGCUCUUGUAUUCAUUGGUCACUCAGCCCAGCACUAUCUAGCACUGAUGGAGAAGUGUACUUGAUUGGAUGUUGUCUUUCGUUGCAGAUGAGCUAAUGCUCUUCUCUCACCUUUGUGUAGUGCAUAUCCUGUGGCUCUUGGGAAUGUGAAUUGCUGUAUAUAUUGGCAUGCUACUUGCAGAUACAGGAAGCUGGAUCUUCCCUGUUCUGUAUUACAGGACAUGUUAAGAUUGGACAUCUGAUGGACCUUCUUGAGAGAUGACAGAGUGAGCGUGCUUGAGAAACAGAGAUGUUACAUCUAAUGCACUCUGUCUGUAUUCAACUAAGGGACUCUUUUCAUAGCAUAGAAUAGUCAAGGCUGGAAGGGACUUCUGAAAGUUAUCUGCACUCAAAGUAGAUUAUUAUAUCAGGGCUAUGUCCAGUCAAACACUGAGUAUCCCCAGGGACAGAGACUCCUGAACCUCUCCUAGAGCCCUGCCACAGUGUUUGACUCUACUGAAUGUGAUUUUUUUCUCCUGCUAUGUAAUUGGAAUUGCCCUAGUUGCAUCUUUUGUACUUGUAUUUUGCUCAUAAUAUUCAUAUGAUUUUAGACUGUUUAUGCCAGUAGGCCAUGGAGUCAUGCAAUUGUGAGUGAAGUCCAAUAAAUAGGGCAGGAUCAAUACCUAAUUCUACAAAGAAAUCCUCUUAAGGACAAGAGAAAAAAGCUUGUAUUAAUAGAGCCUUCUAGCAUACACCUCCAAUUUUACAUCACAGAGUUGUCAGUAUCCCCGUUACAAUUUACACUCUAUCAAAAAUACAAACCUCAGCAAGUACAGAAAGUGAAAGCAGUUUUGGAAUGAUCUGUGCUAUAGCAAUUCCCUCCACAAUUGGUCUAAGCUAACCCAAACUGAUGCAUGUUACACAAAUGAUUAUAAAUAGAAGCCAAAAUUUUGUCAGACCAAUAGUGCAAACUUAACAUAUUGCCCCCUUGGUGUCAUUUGAAGAAAAUUAAUGCAGAGGGCCAAAGAGACAGAGUCUGCAAUAUGUAAUGCUCCAGAGACAUAGUUGAGAUUUUGUUCCUAGUGCAGCAGAAAUAAAUGCUCUUGGCAAGUCAUAAGGGAGAAAUAAGACAUGUGCAUAAGUAAGAUUAAUCAGUAAAGUCAGCGUCUAUCUCAUGAGUCAUAUCUGACAUCAAAAACACCAAGAUUGUCACAUGCCAGAUUUGUGCUACUACGGGAAAGGAGAAAAAAACCAAAGAAUUUCCCGUGCAAAUUGUGCUGUAGAUUUGGGGAACAUGUGAGCACUAGUAAGAAUGGGGGCAGGGUACAAAGUGAGGGCUUUAUUCUGUCAGUAGAAAAGUGUGGAAUGAUGGCCUGAGAAAAAUCAGUAACAAUGCUCCCAUGGCUCUUAGUGGAGUCAGGUUUGUACUCAUGAAGUUACAGUGGAAGGGCUUAAUUUCUCAGUCUCUAGUCAGGUAAACUCUCAGAGAACUAAAUGGAAAGGUAAAGUGGACAAACAGCCUGAAUGUCUGUGCUAAAAAUGCUAGAUCUGUCAAACCAAAUUACACAGUAAGCAGUGAUGGCUUACUGUAUACUUCCUUGCCUCCCUUUGCAGAAAAUCACUGUGCCAGGACAGGUAGCACAGUGAUGCUCCACCUCAUUCCAAAUCUUAAAGGCACAAUCUAGGUCUUUUCAUUUUCUGGUAAUGGUUCUAGAAUCCUGCUGUAACAAUCAGAAAGAUCAACAUGAUGAAAUAGUGAUACAAGAGGUGUAAUUACAAAGGGGCAAUAGAGAGAUGUUACAAGGGAAGGAAAAAAGGACUGCUCACCCAUCUCUGAAAAUCCAGGCUCGCAAGGGAAACUCCACAAGAAAGAGAUCCCCAGAAAAAAAGCUUUCCCCAGUGGCAGUCAGCCCUUACACGGAGUCUAGGAGGGGUGCAGCCAGGCUUCUGGUCACACAGCUGAAUUGCCUUCACCUGUGCUCAUAGGGCUGACUCAUUCCUUUCCUCAGGUGCUCAAUCAGUGGUUCAGGCUGUGACUCAACAGUUACCAUACAUCUGCCUAGAAUCAGGUUCCCCCAGGACUGAAAUGAGAGGCCUCCUGUACAGAAAACACUUAUGCCUGUCCAGCCUGAGCUAAACUGAGAGGGGAUGCAAAACGCAGACAAGUUAAAGAAAGAACUGGUUGCCAAAUACAUUGCUAGAUAAACAAUAUAAAGAUGAAGCUAAAGAUGAGGUUGUGUAUCAGUUACUUAAAGGUUAAAAUCAUAUUGUAAUGAACUGUGCACUUGCAGGAAACUUUGAACACUGAUUAUAUUGGCAAAACAACCUGUCAUGUUAAGAACAUGCAAUCAAAGCUUUUCUGCCUUCAGGUGAUGAGGAUAAAAACUGUUAAAACAAUAAAUAUACAUAUUCAGAAACGACCAUCCUCUAGCCUAGAGCUGCUAGUUGUGAGAAGGUCCCACUCAUAUGGCUAAUGCAUGAUCAGUGCAGUGAAUGGACCUAUUCCUUCCCUGUGAGGAGAGAAUGAAUGGAUGAGCCUAAGUGCUGAUAAACGUAACUGCUUCUGGAGUCCCAGCACAGCACAAGUGCCUUGGGACCAAGUACUUGCCCUGCAUUAGCAAGUUCAGUGACUUGUGCCUCCCUGCUUUCUGGUCCAGCUUUGUGUUGUCUCAUAUUAGAGACAUCCUCUGCUCUGCAGCUGUCAUAACACUUGCAAACCACCCACUCUUCACAGGAGCAAUUACAU
This 3566-nucleotide long non-coding RNA is filed under the name Meleagris gallopavo (turkey). RNAcentral describes it as "lncRNA (ENSMGAG00000020957.1)". Lineage: Eukaryota; Metazoa; Chordata; Aves; Galliformes; Phasianidae. The record is from RNAcentral.